RNAcentral lists this unclassified non-coding RNA (352 nucleotides) under soil metagenome. RNAcentral's name for it is "partial contains 5.8S ribosomal RNA, internal transcribed spacer 2, and large subunit ribosomal RNA". The stretch from base 1 to 120 matches the Rfam family "5.8S ribosomal RNA", at positions 35 to 154 of the family's 154-position model. The record is from RNAcentral.
GAUGAAGAACGUAGCGAAAUGCGAUAAGUAAUGUGAAUUGCAGAAUUCAGUGAAUCAUCGAAUCUUUGAACGCACAUUGCGCCCGCCAGUAUUCUGGCGGGCAUGCCUGUCCGAGCGUCAUUUCAACCCUCGAACCCCUCCGGGGGGUCGGCGUCGGGGAUCGGCCCUUUCACCGGGUGCCGGCCCCUAAAUACAGUGGCGGUCUCGCCGCAGCCUCUCAUGCGCAGUAGUUUGCACACUCGCACCGGGAGCGCGGCGCGUCCACGUCCGUAAAACACCCCAACUUCUGAAAUGUUGACCUCGGAUCAGGUAGGAAUACCCGCUGAACUUAAGCAUAUCAAUAAGCGGAGGA